GUGGUCAUACCUAGCCUAUGGAGUGAGGCUGGCAUACCCCUAGCCACUUACAGAGGUUAACAAGCAAGAGCAAACUUGUAAACAAGUCAGACUAGGGCCUGUAUGGUGAUUAGGACACCAACAGGCCUUCGUCAAGGCUCAAACACAUAAUAUGGGGGUAGGAAUGGGAUUAAUUAGAGUAUAGGCUAUUAAAAACCUUAGUUCUAAACAAGGAGUGGCAAUGAGAUGCCACCCUAAUCCAGAACACACUCAUAUUCAAACAUGGAUCAGGGAAGGGGGAGAAUGGGAUUAAUUUGAGCAUAGGCUGUUAACAGCCAUAGUUCUAAACUAGGAGUGGCAAUGAGAUGCCACCCUAAUUGGGAACACACUCACAUUCAAACUGGGAUCAGGGAAAGGGAAAUCACAUAAGCAUACUUGAGAGAACAAGACUAAUUUAAUUGGAUUCAGGGGAAAGGGGUGUAUAGGAACUUAAAACACAAUAUUGAUCAAUAAACAGACAAGAUAAGGGACUGAGCAUGCUGGACUGAAAACUGAAAAAUAAACAGAUAAGGGAAAAGGGAGAAUUAAACAUGCUGCAAUUGAAAUGCACAAAAACAGACAAAGGAAAUAGGGAAGGGGAUAUAACCUGCAGAAUACAAACAUAACAGACAAGGGAAAUGGGAAGGGGAUUAAACAUGCUAAAGCUUAAAUUGAAAUACAUAAACAGACAAAGGAAAUGGGGGAAGAUGAUUGAACCUGCUGAAUUCAAACGUAAUAGACAAGGGAAAGGGGAAGGGGAUUAAACAUGCUAACGCUCAAAUUGAAAUAUAUAAACUGACUAGGGGAAUGGAAAGUGGUUAAACAUACUGAACUUAAACUGAAAGCAUAAACAGA
Molecule: long non-coding RNA, 873 nt
Filed under: Nicotiana benthamiana
Lineage: Eukaryota; Viridiplantae; Streptophyta; Magnoliopsida; Solanales; Solanaceae
Description: long non-coding RNA (NBEN_LNC022219)
Source: RNAcentral